CAUCCCCCCUCCACAUCCAUACGCCUAUAAAUUAGUUUGGGAUCAUCACAUCACAAACCCGCCUUUCCACAACCUCGCUGCCACCACAGCCAUGACUUCAGCCAGAGGCCGCACUGCGUUUUGGGUAACCGCGCUGAUAACUAUUAUUGGUGCAACUGUGGAAGGUAAGACUUCUUGAUCGUUCACGCUUUGUGUGACAUUCAAACUGCGACGACGUCAGUGUUGCUUUGUGUUUGAUUCCCACAGAGACCACAACGUACACCUUGAAUGAGCCAGACAUCCCGUUCCCACCUGCCAAACCCACUCCACUAAAUCUGGCCAACAUCUGUCUCCAGAGUCAAAGCCGUCCCAGAUAUCCCGACAGCUUCUACCCACCCUCUGGUUUCAGCUUCUUCCGCCGCACUGGAAACGCCAUCAACCGCGUGGAGUCAUGGUACAUUGUGUGCUGCAGUGGACUGGUAGCACAGGAAAUCAACCAGAUCCUCUGCUGCACCAAUCAAGCUUGGAAACAAGCCCUGUCUCAGUUCUGUAAUGAGGAAUAUUCUGUUAAGACUAAUCCAUACGAGUGCUGCGAGUACAAAGAAGAAAAGAGAUGGACCUGCUUCGAUGAGCAGCUGCCAAAUCCAUAUUACUUGGGAACACCGGGGUACACUUGUCCUGCAAUGCCUGCAGUACCGGGAUUCAUAUUUAACCCAAAUGCUUGCAAUAACUGACAACCAAACUCACUCAAAUGCAAUGAAAAAGAAACAGAGAAAAGAUAAAAGAGUUUAUCCUUGUGCAGUCAGAAGAGAAAAUUAGAAAUGAGGUUGUUUGCUCCUGUUAAGGACACUAAGUCUUAAAAUUAUUAUUGUGUGUUACUGUAAUCAGUUUUUUAAGRUAACCAGAAACUUACUUUCAAAUGUAUAAGUCCUUUCUCUUACAAAAUGUUUCUUACUUUAAUAUCACAAACUUUUGUAAAUAAAUGACUGAAAUAAAUAAAACAAAGCAAACUAACAAACAAA
Molecule: long non-coding RNA, 1001 nt
Organism: Austrofundulus limnaeus
Lineage: Eukaryota; Metazoa; Chordata; Actinopteri; Cyprinodontiformes; Rivulidae
Exons: 2
Source: RefSeq, a predicted model, not a curated record